CUUCCGCCGGCGACCGGCGCACGGGUGAGUAACACGUAUGCAACCUGCCCCUGUCAGGGGGACAACCCGCCGAAAGGCGGGCUAAACCCGCGUACAUGCCACCGGGGCAUCCCGGAGGCAGGAAAGGCUUCGGCCGGACAGGGAUGGGCAUGCGGCGCAUUAGGCAGUAGGCGGGGUAACGGCCCACCUAACCGACGAUGCGUAGGGGUUCUGAGAGGAAGGUCCCCCACACUGGUACUGAGACACGGACCAGGCUCCUACGGGAGGCAGCAG
RNAcentral lists this ribosomal RNA (273 nucleotides) under uncultured bacterium. RNAcentral describes it as "partial 16S ribosomal RNA". It matches the Rfam family "Bacterial small subunit ribosomal RNA", at positions 82 to 354 of the family's 1533-position model. The record is from RNAcentral.